ACGUCACAAGUUAACUAUGCGAGACUGGGCGCCUUAAUCCGUUUCUUGGAUGGCGACGCUCCAACCGUCUCCCUGGUGAAAUUAGCGCUGUGGAACCACCCGAUCCCAUCCCGAACUCG
This 119-nucleotide ribosomal RNA is filed under the name Xanthomonas campestris pv. campestris str. 8004. Lineage: Bacteria; Pseudomonadati; Pseudomonadota; Gammaproteobacteria; Lysobacterales; Lysobacteraceae. The record is from RNAcentral.